This 796-nucleotide long non-coding RNA is filed under the name Danio rerio (zebrafish). RNAcentral describes it as "lncRNA (ENSDARG00000117801.1)". The record is from RNAcentral. Lineage: Eukaryota; Metazoa; Chordata; Actinopteri; Cypriniformes; Danionidae.
AGGAUAUAGAAGAUAUUGAGGAGUGCUUCAUUGGGAAUGUCGGUAUGGAUGAGCACUUGGCCUUUUCACGGAGUAGUGUGAUCACAAUGACCAAUUACUUGUGGAAUUGCAAAAGAUUACCGGAAGACAUUCCACUUGAAACUAACAAAACAGAAAAACCCAUUCCAGAAACCUUUAUACCAUCAGAAACAACCUGUCCAUACUGCCCAGGGUCAUGUCCUCCCGAUCUUAGCAAUGCUUUUGUGGUUACAACACAAGCAACUGUUUAUGGGAUGUUUUGGCAGAAUAGAGGUAUUUCCGUUUAUGCCAAGGCAUGCCCAGUUUGCAGAAAUGUAGUUCGUUUUCAGGACUACAAUUCUGGAUUCCCCAAUUAUAACAACAGGAAUCACAUUGUUGUUGGUAGAAUGCUGCACACUAUAGAAUCUCAUUCUGGGACUACAGUGCCACACAACACUGAGAAAAGCAUUCUACCACUUCAGUGCUCUCAGGCAGUAUACGUACAGUUAUUUCUGUUACCGCUGUGGACACCACCCAUCUGUGGUCAUUGCUGAUUGAAGAUUGCCUUUGAUUUGCCAGAUGAGUGUUAGUGAAUAUAUUUUGUUUAAAAUAGAAAUAUCUUCAGAGUACAUAGCUUAAAGGAAUAGCUGACCUAAAAUUUUAAAGUCUCUUAUUUUUUACUCACAAGUCCGUUCUCUGCGUUCUUGGAAUUGAGAAACAGCCGUAGUUUUGUGUUUCUCUUCUCUGUUUCUGCUUAUUAACAGCAGGUGUUCACCAUCAGUGCUCAAUCAUAACUUAA